AGGACGAACGCUGGCGGCGUGCCUAAUACAUGCAAGUCGAACGGUCUUUCUAUGGAAGCUUGCUUCCACUGAGAAGAUAGUGGCGAACGGGUGAGUAACACGUGGGUAACCUGCCCAUAAGAGGGGGGAUAACAUCCGGAAACGGGUGCUAAUACCGCAUAGUUUUCUUGAUCGCAUGAUCGGGAAAGGAAAGACGGCCUUUGUGCUGUCGCUUAUGGAUGGACCCGCGGCGUAUUAGUUAGUUGGUGAGGUAACGGCUCACCAAGACGAUGAUACGUAGCCGACCUGAGAGGGUGAUCGGCCACAUUGGGACUGAGACACGGCCCAAACUCCUACGGGAGGCAGCAGUAGGGAAUCUUCCGCAAUGGACGAAAGUCUGACGGAGCAACGCCGCGUGAGUGAAGAAAGGUUUUCGGAUCGUAAAACUCUGUUGUCAGAGAGGAACAAGUUGGAGAGUAACUGCUCCAGCCUUGACGGUAUCUGACCAGAAAGCCACGGCUAACUACGUGCCAGCAGCGGC
This 520-nucleotide ribosomal RNA is filed under the name uncultured bacterium. Its description in RNAcentral is "bacterial SSU rRNA". It matches the Rfam family "Bacterial small subunit ribosomal RNA", at positions 26 to 518 of the family's 1533-position model. The record is from RNAcentral.